Molecule: ribosomal RNA, 467 nt
Filed under: uncultured bacterium
Lineage: Bacteria
Description: partial 16S ribosomal RNA
Rfam family: Bacterial small subunit ribosomal RNA
Source: RNAcentral
GAUGAACGCUGACAGAAUGCUUAACACAUGCAAGUCAACUUGAAUUUGGGUUUUUAACUUCGGUUUGGGUGGCGGACGGGUGAGUAACGCGUAAAGAACUUGCCUCACAGCUAGGGACAGCAUUUGGGAACGAAUGCUAAUACCUAAUAUUAUGAUAAUAGGGCAUCCUAUAAUUAUGAAAGCUAUAAGCGCUGUGAGAGAGCUUUGCGUCCCAUUAGCUAGUUGGAGAGGUAACGGCUCACCAAGGCGAUGAUGGGUAGCCGGCCUGAGAGGGUGAUCGGCCACAAGGGGACUGAGACACGGCCCUUACUCCUACGGGAGGCAGCAGUGGGGAAUAUUGGACAAUGGACCGAGAGUCUGAUCCAGCAAUUCUGUGUGCACGAUGAAGUUUUUCGGAAUGUAAAGUGCUUUCAGUUGGGAAGAAACAAAUGACGGUACCAACAGAAGAAGUGACGGCUAAAUACGUG